Non-coding RNA from Myotis brandtii (Brandt's bat), 73 nucleotides. Lineage: Eukaryota; Metazoa; Chordata; Mammalia; Chiroptera; Vespertilionidae. The record is from Rfam.
GCUGGUGUUUCUCAGUGGUUAGAGCAUUGGCUUGCACACCAGAGGGCCCUGGGUUCAAUUCCCAGCCCCAGUC